AUGGCAGCCGCCACUCCAAGCAAAAGCAACAAGGACGUCAUGGCCUUCGACUAUGCCAAAAUGCUCAUUCCGAUCUCGCCUUCUGCUAUCAGGGCUACGUUGGACUAUGACAUCAGUGCUAUCUGCAAGAUUUUGAUGGCUAAUGAUGGCCGUUCGGUCGCGGAACGAAUGGAUUACUUGUCGAAGAAUUUUGCUUCAUUCAAGAAGCCUGAAGCUCUGGUACCUGUGGACGACCUGGAGGAUGAGGACGAUGAGGAGUUGAUGGAUGAUGAAAAGACAUCUGCUAGUUAUGCUGAACUGCAAGUCCCUAGUGAAGGUGAACAAGAAUGCAAGAAGAUUAUCAGCAAGCUUUGA
RNAcentral lists this ribosomal RNA (354 nucleotides) under Triticum aestivum (bread wheat). RNAcentral's name for it is "partial small subunit ribosomal RNA". The record is from RNAcentral. Lineage: Eukaryota; Viridiplantae; Streptophyta; Magnoliopsida; Poales; Poaceae.